AAACUGGGAAAAUGGCGGAGGCUUCUGAGUUGGUGGUCCUCCACUCUCCCGCGAGCAAGGACAUGACGGCGGAGACAAACAGCCAGGCCUUGGAACCCAACACUCUACAAGAGGAAUUUCGGGUGCGCAGCACUUCGAAGCGGACUGUGACGGAAAUGCUACAGCUGUGCAGUUGCUUCGUGCAAAAGCUCAGGGACACUCUCCUGGAGGAGAUUCAGGAGCCCGCCCUGCAAGACGCGCAGUGGAUUUUUGAGUCAGCUGUGCAAGAGAAUGUCAGCAUUAAUGGGCAAGCAUGGCAGGACACUUUAGAUGAUUGUCUUAUGGAUUCUGACAUCAAAGAACUUGAAGAUCAGUUUGACGAAAUCAUAGUAGAUAUAGCAACAAAACAUAAGCAGUAUCCCAGAAAGAUCCUGGAAUGUGUCAUCAAAAUCAUAAAAGCAAAAUAAGAAAUUCUGAAGCAGUACCACCCUGUUGUAUAUUCAUUGGUCCUAAAAUGUGACCCUGAUCUAGACUCUCAUAUGGAAAAUUUGAAAUGCAGAGGAGAAACAAUAGCUAAGGAGAUCAGUGAAACCACGAAGUCCUUGCCUACACUAACUGAACAAGGAGAUGGAUUUGCUCAAAUUUUAAAGAUGCAGCCUAUUAUCCAGCUCCAGAGGGUCCACCAGGAAGUUUUUUCCCGUUGUCACAGGAAACCAGAUGCUAAACUGAGAGCUUUAAAACACAU
This is an RNA transcript of Carlito syrichta (Philippine tarsier), 724 nucleotides long. It is a transcript of the gene named kinetochore-associated protein NSL1 homolog pseudogene, with no coding region annotated. Lineage: Eukaryota; Metazoa; Chordata; Mammalia; Primates; Tarsiidae. The transcript has a single exon. The record is from RefSeq and is a predicted model, not a curated record.